GGUGUCCUGGCGCAAUGGUAGCGCGUUGGUUUUCGGUUCCAGCUGAAACUCGCCAAAGGUUGUAGGUUCGAGCCCUGCGGACAUCG
This 86-nucleotide transfer RNA is filed under the name Didymella heteroderae. It matches the Rfam family "tRNA". Rfam says of the family: Transfer RNA (tRNA) molecules are approximately 80 nucleotides in length. Their secondary structure includes four short double-helical elements and three loops (D, anti-codon, and T loops). Lineage: Eukaryota; Fungi; Ascomycota; Dothideomycetes; Pleosporales; Didymellaceae. The record is from Rfam by way of RNAcentral.